RNAcentral lists this ribosomal RNA (261 nucleotides) under uncultured bacterium. RNAcentral describes it as "partial 16S ribosomal RNA". It matches the Rfam family "Bacterial small subunit ribosomal RNA", at positions 793 to 1055 of the family's 1533-position model. The record is from RNAcentral.
GUCCACGCCCUAACGAUGUCAACUAGGUGUUGGAAGGGUUAAACCUUUAGUGCCGUAGCUAACGCGUGAAGUUGACCGCCUGGGGAGUACGGACGCAAGGCUAAACUCAAAGGAAUUGACGGGGACCCGCACAAGCGGUGGAUGAUGUGGAUUAAUUCGAUGCAACGCGAAACCUUACCUACCCUUGACAUGUCAGGAAUCCCGGAGAGAUUUGGGAGUGCUCGAAAGAGAGCCUGAACACAGGUGCUGCAUGGCUGUCGU